GAGUAACGCGUGAGGAACCUGGCUCAAAGAGGGGGACAACAGUUGGAAACGACUGCUAAUACCGCAUAAGCCCACGGGUCGGCAUCGACCUGAGGGAAAAGGAGCAAUCCGCUUUGAGAUGGCCUCGCGUCCGAUUAGCUAGUUGGUGAGGUAACGGCCCACCAAGGCGACGAUCGGUAGCUGGACUGAGAGGUUGAACGGCCACAUUGGGACUGAGACACGGCCCAGACUCCUACGGGAGGCAGCAGUGGGGAAUAUUGCACAAUGGGGGAAACCCUGAUGCAGCGACGCCGCGUGGAGGAAGAAGGUCUUCGGAUUGUAAACUCCUGUUGUUGAGGAAGAUAAUGACGGUACUCAACAAGGAAGUGACGGCUAACUACGUGCCAGCAGCCGCGGUAAAACGUAGGUCACAAGCGUUGUCCGGAAUUACUGGGUGUAAAGGGAGCGCAGGCGGGAAGACAAGUUGGAAGUGAAAUCUAUGGGCUCAACCCAUAAACUGCUUUCAAAACUGUUUUUCUUGAGUGGUGCAGAGGUAGGCGGAAUUCCCGGUGUAGCGGUGGAAUGCGUAGAUAUCGGGAGGAACACCAGUGGCGAAGGCGGCCUACUGGGCACCAACUGACGCUGAGGCUCGAAAGUGUGGGUAGCAAACAGGAUUAGAUACCCUGGUAGUCCACACCGUAAACGAUGAUUACUAGGUGUUGGAGGAUUGACCCCUUCAGUGCCGCAGUUAACACAAUAAGUAAUCCACCUGGGGAGUACGACCGCAAGGUUGAAACUCAAAGGAAUUGACGGGG
This 794-nucleotide ribosomal RNA is filed under the name uncultured bacterium. Its description in RNAcentral is "bacterial SSU rRNA". It matches the Rfam family "Bacterial small subunit ribosomal RNA", at positions 108 to 918 of the family's 1533-position model. The record is from RNAcentral.